GAUGAACGCUGGCGGCGUGCCUAAUACAUGCAAGUCGAGCGAACAGACGAGGAGCUUGCUCCUCUGACGUUAGCGGCGGACGGGUGAGUAACACGUGGAUAACCUACCUAUAAGACUGGGAUAACUUCGGGAAACCGUAGCUAAUACCGGAUAAUAUUUUGAACCGCAUGGUUCAAUAGUGAAAGACGGUCUUGCUGUCACUUAUAGAUGGAUCCGCGCCGCAUUAGCUAGUUGGUAAGGUAACGGCUUACCAAGGCAACGAUGCGUAGCCGACCUGAGAGGGUGAUCGGCCACACUGGAACUGAGACACGGUCCAGACUCCUACGGGAGGCAGCAGUAGGGAAUCUUCCGCAAUGGGCGAAAGCCUGACGGAGCAACGCCGCGUGAGUGAUGAAGGUCUUCGGAUCGUAAAACUCUGUUAUUAGGGAAGAACAAAUGUGUAAGUAACUAUGCACGUCUUGACGGUACCUAAUCAGAAAGCCACGGCUAACUACGUG
This 497-nucleotide ribosomal RNA is filed under the name uncultured bacterium. RNAcentral describes it as "partial 16S ribosomal RNA". It matches the Rfam family "Bacterial small subunit ribosomal RNA", at positions 28 to 507 of the family's 1533-position model. The record is from RNAcentral.